CCCUUAGAUGUUCUGGGCCGCACGCGCGCUACACUGAUGCAUUCAACGAGUCUAAAACCUGCUCUGAUAGGGGUGGGUAAUCUUUUGAAUGUGCAUCGUGAUUGGGAUAGAUGAUUGCAAUUUUUCAUCUUCAACGAGGAAUGCCUAGUAAACGCAAGUCAUCAGCUUGCAUUGAUUACGUCCCUGCCCUUCGUACACGCCGCCCGUCGCUCCUACCGAUUGAAUGAUCCGAUGAAUAUCAUGGAUUGAGGAUGCAAGUAGGUUAGCCUAUCUUCAUCUUCGAGAAGUGAAGUAAAUCUUAUCAUUUAGAGGAAGGAGAAGUCGUAACA
RNAcentral lists this ribosomal RNA (329 nucleotides) under uncultured eukaryote. Its description in RNAcentral is "partial 18S ribosomal RNA". It matches the Rfam family "Eukaryotic small subunit ribosomal RNA", at positions 1470 to 1796 of the family's 1831-position model. The record is from RNAcentral.